UUAAGCGACUAAGCGUACACGGUGGAUGCCUAGGCAGUCAGAGGCGAUGAAGGGCGUGCUAAUCUGCGAAAAGCGUCGGUAAGGUGAUAUGAACCGUUACAACCGACGAUACCCGAAUGGGGAAACCCAGUGCAAUUCGUUGCACUAUUGCAUGGUGAAUACAUAGCCAUGCAAGGCGAACCGGGGGAACUGAAACAUCUAAGUACCCCGAGGAAAAGAAAUCAACCGAGAUUCCCCCAGUAGCGGCGAGCGAACGGGGAAGAGCCCAGAGUCUGAAUCAGUUUGUGUGUUAGUGGAAGCGUCUGGAAAGUCGCACGGUACAGGGUGAUAGUCCCGUACACAAAAACACACUUGCUGUGAACUCGAUGAGUAGGGCGGGACACGUGACAUCCUGUCUGAAUAUGGGGGGACCAUCCUCCAAGGCUAAAUACUCCUGACUGACCGAUAGUGAACCAGUACCGUGAGGGAAAGGCGAAAAGAACCCCGGCGAGGGGAGUGAAAUAGAACCUGAAACCGUGUACGUACAAGCAGUGGGAGCACCUUCGUGGUGUGACUGCGUACCUUUUGUAUAAUGGGUCAGCGACUUAUAUUUUGUAGCAAGGUUAACCGAAUAGGGGAGCCGUAGGGAAACCGAGUCUUAACUGGGCGUCUAGUUGCAAGGUAUAGACCCGAAACCCGGUGAUCUAGCCAUGGGCAGGUUGAAGGUUGGGUAACACUAACUGGAGGACCGAACCGACUAAUGUUGAAAAAUUAGCGGAUGACUUGUGGCUGGGGGUGAAAGGCCAAUCAAACCGGGAGAUAGCUGGUUCUCCCCGAAAGCUAUUUAGGUAGCGCCUCGUGAACUCAUCUUCGGGGGUAGAGCACUGUUUCGGCUAGGGGGUCAUCCCGACUUACCAAACCGAUGCAAACUCCGAAUACCGAAGAAUGUUAUCACGGGAGACACACGGCGGGUGCUAACGUCCGUCGUGAAGAGGGAAACAACCCAGACCGCCAGCUAAGGUCCCAAAGUCAUGGUUAAGUGGGAAACGAUGUGGGAAGGCAUAGACAGCCAGGAUGUUGGCUUAGAAGCAGCCAUCAUUUAAAGAAAGCGUAAUAGCUCACUGGUCGAGUCGGCCUGCGCGGAAGAUGUAACGGGGCUAAACCAUGCACCGAAGCUGCGGCAGCGACACUUAGGUGUUGUUGGGUAGGGGAGCGUUCUGUAAGCCGUUGAAGGUGACCUGUGAGGGUUGCUGGAGGUAUCAGAAGUGCGAAUGCUGACAUAAGUAACGAUAAUGCGGGUGAAAAACCCGCACGCCGGAAGACCAAGGGUUCCUGUCCAACGUUAAUCGGGGCAGGGUGAGUCGACCCCUAAGGCGAGGCUGAAAAGCGUAGUCGAUGGGAAACAGGUUAAUAUUCCUGUACUUGGUGUUACUGCGAAGGGGGGACGGAGAAGGCUAGGCUAGCCGGGCGACGGUUGUCCCGGUUUAAGCAUGUAGGCGGAGCGACUUGGUAAAUCCGGUUGCUUAUCAACGCUGAGGUGUGAUGACGAUGCACUACGGUGCAGAAGUAGUUGAUGCCAUGCUUCCAGGAAAAGCCUCUAAGCAUCAGGUAACAUUAAAUCGUACCCCAAACCGACACAGGUGGUCAGGUAGAGAAUACUCAGGCGCUUGAGAGAACUCGGGUGAAGGAACUAGGCAAAAUGGUGCCGUAACUUCGGGAGAAGGCACGCUGGCAUUAGGUAAAGGGACUUGCUCCCGGCGCCGAAGCCAGUCGCAGAUACCAGCUGGCUGCAACUGUUUAAUAAAAACACAGCACUGUGCAAACACGAAAGUGGACGUAUACGGUGUGACGCCUGCCCGGUGCUGGAAGGUUAAUUGAUGGGGUCAGCCUUACGGCGAAGCUCUUGAUCGAAGCCCCAGUAAACGGCGGCCGUAACUAUAACGGUCCUAAGGUAGCGAAAUUCCUUGUCGGGUAAGUUCCGACCUGCACGAAUGGCGUAAUGAUGGCCAGGCUGUCUCCACCCGAGACUCAGUGAAAUUGAACUCGCUGUGAAGAUGCAGUGUACCCGCGGCAAGACGGAAAGACCCCGUGAACCUUUACUAUAGCUUGACACUGAACAUUGAGCCUUGAUGUGUAGGAUAGGUGGGAGGCAUUGAAGUGUGGACGCCAGUCUGCAUGGAGCCAACCUUGAAAUACCACCCUUUAAUGUUUGAUGUUCUAACUCGGCCCCGUGAUCCGGGGUGAGGACAGUGUCUGGUGGGUAGUUUGACUGGGGCGGUCUCCUCCCAAAGAGUAACGGAGGAGCACGAAGGUUAGCUAAUCACGGUCGGACAUCGUGAGGUUAGUGCAAAGGCAUAAGCUAGCUUGACUGCGAGAGUGACGGCUCGAGCAGGUACGAAAGUAGGUCUUAGUGAUCCGGUGGUUCUGAAUGGAAGGGCCAUCGCUCAACGGAUAAAAGGUACUCCGGGGAUAACAGGCUGAUACCGCCCAAGAGUUCAUAUCGACGGCGGUGUUUGGCACCUCGAUGUCGGCUCAUCACAUCCUGGGGCUGAAGUAGGUCCCAAGGGUAUGGCUGUUCGCCAUUUAAAGUGGUACGCGAGCUGGGUUUAGAACGUCGUGAGACAGUUCGGUCCCUAUCUGCCGUGGGCGUUGGAAGAUUGAGAGGGGCUGCUCCUAGUACGAGAGGACCGGAGUGGACGAAUCACUGGUGUUCGGGUUGUCAUGCCAAUGGCAUUGCCCGGUAGCUAAAUUCGGAAGAGAUAACCGCUGAAAGCAUCUAAGCGGGAAACUUGCCUCGAGAUGAGUCUUCCCUGGGGCUUUAAGCCCCCUGAAGGAACGUUAAAGACUAUGACGUUGAUAGGCUGGGUGUGUAAGUGCAGCGAUGCAUUGAGCUAACCAGUACUAAUGAUCCGUGAGGCUUAACCUU
Molecule: ribosomal RNA, 2905 nt
Filed under: Yersinia enterocolitica
Lineage: Bacteria; Pseudomonadati; Pseudomonadota; Gammaproteobacteria; Enterobacterales; Yersiniaceae
Description: bacterial LSU rRNA
Rfam family: Bacterial large subunit ribosomal RNA
Source: RNAcentral